Aequorivita sublithincola DSM 14238 is the source of this 399-nucleotide non-coding RNA. The record is from Rfam. Lineage: Bacteria; Pseudomonadati; Bacteroidota; Flavobacteriia; Flavobacteriales; Flavobacteriaceae.
GGGGCCGACUGGUUUUGACAGCGGGUCUAAUUGUAUUGUAAGCAUGUCGAGCGCUGGGAUAUAGCUCGUAAAUAUCAUAUUUCACACUUUUUAAACGGCGAGAAUAACUACGCCCUAGCUGCAUAAUCCGAAUCAUAGUAGGAUGUGCCUCGGCCCACAAGGUGGGUAAGCAGGAAGUCACUCAACGGCCUUGGUUUGCGGCGGUUGAUUUAGUGGCUUCGUAAAAGUAAACCUAGCGGCAAUAGUGCUUUGAUGUUGCCGUGAAGCUCAAGUAAAGAUAAGGGGUGCGUUGGUAGUUUUCGACCGGCAAUCUCACGAAAAUCUAAAUGAAAACUAAGCAUGUAGAAGGCAUUAUAAUUGCGCGUUUGGACGGGAGUUCGAAUCUCCCCGGCUCCACUG